Non-coding RNA from Cucurbita pepo subsp. pepo (vegetable marrow), 480 nucleotides. The record is from RefSeq and is a predicted model, not a curated record. Lineage: Eukaryota; Viridiplantae; Streptophyta; Magnoliopsida; Cucurbitales; Cucurbitaceae.
UUNCGUUUACAAAUCAGCUACAAAUAGAGUGAAGACAUUUCGAUUCCCGCCGCUCGCCUGCUUCACUCCCGGGCGCAGUCGAGGUGGUUCAUCGUCGUAAUCAACAUUGUCGGAACCCUAGGAAGUGGCUGCCACCGCACUGUGUGGUCGAACGUCGUCGAGGUUGCAGUUCCUCAACAGCCGAAGAACGCGUGCCAUCGCGGGAAUCUAGUCAUGAAUCGCGAGGAGGGCUGUGAGGAUUGACCGGUUCGGUCUAUGUGAAAUCCGGUCCGGUUUGGUGGUAUGUAAAGUUAAACCUGUCGGUCCGGUUCAAUUAAACCAGUUUGGUCUGCUCGAUCCCUUAUAUAAAGCUAGAAUUUAAUAGAUUUAGCUUACUUAGAAUUUACCAUUUACCAAGAGGAGAUUGUAUAGAUUUGUGCUUGUAAACUAAGGUAAGGAUAUUAAUUGACAUGUUAUAAUAUAAAUUUAUUAUAUGAUCGG